Long non-coding RNA from Oxyura jamaicensis (ruddy duck), 74 nucleotides. RefSeq lists it as uncharacterized. NCBI's taxonomy places the organism in Eukaryota, Metazoa, Chordata, Aves, Anseriformes, Anatidae. The record is from RefSeq and is a predicted model, not a curated record. The transcript has 3 exons.
UGGAAUUCAGAAGAGAAAAGAAAAAGAGAGUUUAUGACCCUUGGAAGAAGGGGCAGGUCACUCAGGAGGAUUAC